Molecule: non-coding RNA, 653 nt
Organism: Malaclemys terrapin pileata
Lineage: Eukaryota; Metazoa; Chordata; Testudines; Emydidae
Source: the annotation of a RefSeq genome assembly
UCCGGUGCAUUUGUCCUCCAACACCAGGGAAAAUGAGAGUUUGGAUCUAUUUAGUUUUCAUUGUUGCAGCUUUGCAAGGUGUCUGGUCCCAGGUCCAGCUGGUGGAGUCCGGAGGGGAUGUGAAAAAGCCCGGAGACUCUCUCCGCCUCUCCUGCAAAGCCUCCGGCUUCACCUUCAGCAGCUACAGUAUGAUCUGGGCUCGCCAAGCUCCUGGGAAGGGGCUGGAAUGGGUCGCUUAUCUCAACAGCGCUGGGGGCGAUAUACGCUACCUUGAUUCAGUGAAAGGCCAAUUCACCAUCUCCAGGGACAAUUCCAAGAGUGAGCUGUAUCUGCAAAUGACCAGCCUGAAACCCAAGGACACCGCCCGCUAUUACUGUGCAAGAGAUCUUCUCACCUCUCCCAGUCCGGAAGGGAAGAUGCCCAGUGUGACGCUGUCAGACCAAGUGCCAGCUCAUGCCAAGGCCCCCCAGGCUGGAGCCAGCCUCGUUUACCUACGGGAGCCCGGGAAGGGGCUGGAGUGGCUGGCCAGGUACUAUGAUCCCUCCAUCCACAGUUACGCCUCCUCCAUGCAGGGGAGAUCUACAGCCUUCGAGGACAGCACCACUUUCUGCUUGCACAUGAACAGCCUGAAAGCCGAGGGCACCGCGGUGUAG